AGAGUUUGAUUAUGGCUCAGAACGAACGCUGGCGGCGUGCCUAACACAUGCAAGUCGGACGGAGUACAUUGUUGUAGCAAUACAGUAGUGUACUUAGUGGCGGACGGGUGAGUAACACGUAGGUAACCUACCCUUAAGAGGGGGGCAACCCCGCGAAAGCGGGGCUAAUACCCCAUAAGACCACGGGCGGAGACGUUUGUGGGAAAAGCCCCGAUGAAAAUCGGGGUGCUUAGGGAUGGGCCUGCGGCCUAUCAGGUAGUUGGUGGGGUAAAGGCCUACCAAGCCGAAGACGGGUAGCCGGGCUGAGAGGUUGGACGGCCACACUGGAACUGAGACACGGUCCAGACUCCUACGGGAGGCAGCAGUGGGGAAUUUUGCACAAUGGGCGGAAGCCUGAUGCAGCGACGCCGCGUGGAGGAUGAAGGCCUUCGGGUUGUAAACUCCUUUUGUAGGGGACGAUAAUGACGGUACCCUGCGAAUAAGCCACGGCUAACUCUGUGCCAGCAGCCGCGGUAAGACAGAGGUGGCGAGCGUUGUUCNNNAU
This 544-nucleotide ribosomal RNA is filed under the name uncultured bacterium. Its description in RNAcentral is "bacterial SSU rRNA". It matches the Rfam family "Bacterial small subunit ribosomal RNA", at positions 8 to 551 of the family's 1533-position model. The record is from RNAcentral.